UAUCAAUAAGCGGAGGAAAAGAAACCAACAGGGAUUGCCCUAGUAACGGCGAGUGAAGCGGCAACAGCUCAAAUUUGAAAUCGGCCCCCCGGUCGAGUUGUAAUUUGCAGAGGAUGCUUCUGGGCAGCGGCCGGUCUAAGUUCCUUGGAACAGGACGUCAUAGAGGGUGAGAAUCCCGUAUGCGACCGGCGCGCACCCUCCACGUAGCUCCUUCGACGAGUCGAGUUGUUUGGGAAUGCAGCUCUAAAUGGGAGGUAAAUUUCUUCUAAAGCUAAAUACCGGCGAAAGACCGAUAGCGCACAAGUAGAGUGAUCGAAAGAUGAAAAGCACUUUGGAAAGAGAGUUAAAAAGCACGUGAAAUUGUUGAAAGGGAAGCGCUUGCAAUCAGACUUGUUGGCGGAGUUCCGCCGGUCUUUUGACUGGUCUACUCUCCGUCGACAGGCCAACAUCGUCUGGGGCCGCCGGAUAAGACGUUAGGAAUGUGGCUCCUCGGAGUGUUAUAGCCUAUCGUGAUGWCGGCGCGCCCCGGGCGAGGUCCGCGCUUCGGCAAGGAUGUUGGCGUAAUGGUUGUCAGCGGCCCCUCUUGAAACACGG
RNAcentral lists this ribosomal RNA (594 nucleotides) under Stomiopeltis sp. MHRS 9.25.96 11R Gp010. Its description in RNAcentral is "eukaryotic LSU rRNA". It matches the Rfam family "Eukaryotic large subunit ribosomal RNA", at positions 41 to 664 of the family's 3401-position model. The record is from RNAcentral. Lineage: Eukaryota; Fungi; Ascomycota; Dothideomycetes; Capnodiales.